Aquila chrysaetos chrysaetos is the source of this 555-nucleotide long non-coding RNA. RefSeq lists it as uncharacterized. The record is from RefSeq and is a predicted model, not a curated record. NCBI's taxonomy places the organism in Eukaryota, Metazoa, Chordata, Aves, Accipitriformes, Accipitridae. The transcript has 4 exons.
CCCAGACGAGCAAGCUCCCAGGUGACAUAUUGGCCUGUAUUAGUGGUGCUGGUGUCCAAGAGGGAAUGGACUGAAAUGCUACUAUAUUCUGUUUCUCUGAAUCCUGAUGGAGACUAGCUGAAAUGCCUCCAGAUGUUUUGGGGGCUGAAGACACUGGGGAUGAACCGCCCUCGGAAGACACUGGGGUUUACCCCAGUAACUGCAAGGAGGAGCAAAGACUCUCACCUGGACACGAGCAGAACACCAUCAGACAUCUAACGUGAGGUCUCACCCUGGGCCCAGCCCACGGGCUGCCAUCCCAGCCUAGCCUCCACCCUGCCCCAUCACCGUGGCCCUGCCCAGCAGUCCUGGUGCUGUGCUUCAUCGGGCCUGACCAUGACCCCAACCCGUGGGCUGACUUCUCACAGCCCUGCUCUGCUUCCACAAACCUGCCCACAGACCUGGGCUCUGGGCUGCUCCUGGCCUGCCCUGCUCCCUCACUGGGGACGGUGGGACAGAUCCUGCCUUGCUGGCGUGGGGUCCCCCUUGGCUCCCAGCACCCUGUGCCAUAGGGAG